RNAcentral lists this unclassified non-coding RNA (277 nucleotides) under uncultured fungus. RNAcentral describes it as "partial contains 5.8S ribosomal RNA, internal transcribed spacer 2, and large subunit ribosomal RNA". Lineage: Eukaryota; Fungi. The record is from RNAcentral.
AACGCACCUUGCGCUCCUAGGUCUUCCGAGGAGCAUGCCUGUUUGAGUGCCCAGAACUACUCUCAACUAACACCUUGUGUGUGAGUUGGAUGUGGGGGUUCUGCUGUCGACUUGUUCACAGCUCCUCCUAAAUAUGUUAGCCUGUUGGUGAUGAACCGCUGUCGGCUUGAUAUUACGUCUAUGCUGCAGCUGUACAUGUAUCCAUGGCUUAUAAUCGUCUUCGGACAAUAUUCUGAGCUCGGGCCUCAAAUCAGGUAGGAUUACCCGCUGAACUUAA